This 206-nucleotide ribosomal RNA is filed under the name uncultured bacterium. Its description in RNAcentral is "partial 16S ribosomal RNA". It matches the Rfam family "Bacterial small subunit ribosomal RNA", at positions 568 to 774 of the family's 1533-position model. The record is from RNAcentral.
CACGUAGGUGGUUUUAUAAGUCGGAUGUGAAAGCCCCGGGCUUAACCUGGGAAUUGCAUCUGAUACUGUCUGACUAGAGUAUGCUAGAGGGAAGUGGAAUUCCAGGUGUAGCGGUGAAAUGCGUAGAUAUCUGGAGGAACACCAAUGGCGAAGGCAACUUCCUGGGGCAAUACUGACACUGAUGUGCGAAAGCGUGGGAGCAAACA